RNAcentral lists this ribosomal RNA (164 nucleotides) under uncultured bacterium. RNAcentral describes it as "partial 16S rRNA". It matches the Rfam family "Bacterial small subunit ribosomal RNA", at positions 355 to 511 of the family's 1533-position model. The record is from RNAcentral.
UAGGGAAUCUUCCACAAUGGACGAAAGUCUGAUGGAGCAACGCUGCGUGAGUGAAGAAGGGUUUCGGCUCGUAAAACUCUGUUGUUAAAGAAGAACAUAUCUGAGAGUAACUGUUCAGGUAUUGACGGUAUUUAACCAGAAAGCCACGGCUAACUACGUGCCAC